GUCAGAGGAAAGUUGAAAAGUUACUUCCUACAUUUUCACCCCCACCCUCCACCACCGCCACAUCCCCAAGAGGAAAACCGCUCAGAGUUGUGUCUCAAAUAUAUGUCACCUUGUGUACUUGUGGGAUCGGGCGCCCCCCAGAUGCAGGUACGUAUCACUACACUUAUUUUUCCAGGGCAAACCUGAUCCAAAGUAUGUUAUGAAGUAUGUCGUGAAUUUCAUUUCAUCUCAUUUACAUGCAGCGUGAUAUGACUUACUGGCAUUUCUUGCACAAACAGAUAUUACAAAUAACAUCCAUAUGCUUUCCAGAAUGCAUUUCUACCAUUUUAAACAAAGCUUGAUAACAAAUUAAAAGAUACGACCUUUUUUUUUUUUUUUAACUUAAAUGGUAAUCACUAGGUGGGGCAUCUGGUAAAGUGUCAGUUCUGGGGACCCGGGUUCGAUCCCAGCCCCCCCUCUGUGCAGUUUGCAUGUUCUCCCUGUGCCUGCGUGGGUUUUCUCCGGGCACUCCGGUUUCCUCCCACAUCCCAAAAACACGCAACAUGAAUUGGACACUCUAAAUUGCCCGUAGGUGUGACUGUGAGUGCAGCUGUUUUUCUCCAUGUGCCCUGUGAUUGGCUGGCAACCGGUUCAGGGUCUACUCCACCUCCUGCCCGUUGACAGCUGGGAUAUUCUCCGGCACUUCCUGCGACCCUUGUGAGGAUAAGCGGCAAAGAAAAUGGAUGGAUGGUCAAAAGGUAUCCAGGGCAAGGUUACCUGAGCCCGCACCGCCAUGAUGUCACUUGUCGCCCGGACGCUCCCGCGGCAGAAACGAGGCAGCUGCGUCUUUUGUCGUCGUUUCCCGGCUGCGGGUAGAUGUGUCACCUGUGAGGGGUGCUGACAACACCUGCGAAGUUCUCGCCUUCACGCCCCGGCCGGUGACACCCCUUCAGGAUGGAUCGCAUUAUGACGGGAAAACACAAAUAAGGUCGUGAUGAUCGCAACGUAAAAGGAAAUCGAACUGAUGUUCACCAUCGGGAAGGUUGGGGUGGGGCUUUGGGAGGUGGGAAAUAUUUGUCGCUCCCAAGGACCAAAAAAGCCAAUAGCUGCUGUGGCUUAAUAAAGUUUAAAAAAAAUCCUUGAUUUUUUUUUUUACCUACUGUCGAUUUCAAGUAUACAAUGAUCCAUUUGUGUUUUUGGAAUGUGGAAAGAAGUACCAGGAGAAAAUACACGGAAGAGGCAAACUUCACACAAAAAGGCCAGGGGUCAGAUUCAAACUCCUAAAUUCAGAAAUGUGCGGCAGACAUGCAAACCAGCAGGCCACCGUGCUGACUGUACUUGUUUUAUUAGGUUUUUUUUUUUUUUUUAUGUCCAGUGCAGUAUAUCCAUCCAUUUUCUUAGGCGCUUAUCCUCACAAGGGUCGCGGGGAAUGCUGGAGCCUAUCCCAGCUGUCAAUGGGCAGGAGGCAGGGUACACCCAGAACCGGUCGCCAGCCAAUCGCAGGGCACAUCGAGACAAACAACUGCACUCACAAUCACACCUACGGGCAAUUUAGAGUGUCCAAUUAGUGUUGCAUGUUUUUGGAAUGUGGGAGGAAACCGGAGGGCCCAGAGAAAACCCACGCACUCACUGGGAGAACAUGGGAACUCCACACAGGCGGGGCCAGGGUUGA
Syngnathoides biaculeatus (alligator pipefish) is the source of this 1651-nucleotide long non-coding RNA. RefSeq lists it as uncharacterized. The transcript is spliced from 3 exons. Lineage: Eukaryota; Metazoa; Chordata; Actinopteri; Syngnathiformes; Syngnathidae. The record is from RefSeq and is a predicted model, not a curated record.